AGUGAACGCUGGCGGUAGGCCUAACACAUGCAAGUCGAACGGCAGCACAGUAAGAGCUUGCUCUUACGGGUGGCGAGUGGCGGACGGGUGAGGAAUACAUCGGAAUCUACUUUUUCGUGGGGGAUAACGUAGGGAAACUUACGCUAAUACCGCAUACGACCUACGGGUGAAAGCAGGGGAUCUUCGGACCUUGCGCGAUUGAAUGAGCCGAUGUCGGAUUAGCUAGUUGGCGGGGUAAAGGCCCACCAAGGCGACGAUCCGUAGCUGGUCUGAGAGGAUGAUAAGCCACACUGGAGCUGAGACACGGUCCAGACUCCUACGGGAGGCAGCAGUGGGGAAUAUUGGACAAUGGGCGCAAGCCUGAUCCAGCCAUACCGCGUGUGUGAAGAAGGCCUUCGGGUUGUAAAGCCCUUUUGUUGGGAAAGAAAAGCAGCAGGUUAAUACCCCGCUGUUCUGACGGUACCCAAAGAAUAAGCACCGGCUAACUUCGUG
This 492-nucleotide ribosomal RNA is filed under the name uncultured bacterium. RNAcentral describes it as "partial 16S ribosomal RNA". It matches the Rfam family "Bacterial small subunit ribosomal RNA", at positions 29 to 507 of the family's 1533-position model. The record is from RNAcentral.